AUUGAACGCUGGCGGCAGGCCUAACACAUGCAAGUCGAACGAGUGGCGGACGGGUGAGUAAUGUCUGGGAAACUGCCUGAUGGAGGGGGAUAACUACUGGAAACGGUAGCUAAUACCGCAUACCAUCAGAUGUGCCCAGAUGGGAUUAGCUAGUUGGUGGGGUAAAGGCCUACCAAGGCGACGAUCCGUAACUGGUCUGAGAGGAUGAUCAGUCACACUGGAACUGAGACACGGUCCAGACUCCUACGGGAGGCAGCAGUGGGGAAUAUUGGACAAUGGGCGAAAGCCUGAUCCAGCCAUGCCGCGUGUGUGAAGAAGGUCUUCGGAUUGUAAAGCACUUUCAGCGGGGAGGCGUUACCCGCAGAAGAAGCACCGGCUAACUCCGUGCCAGCAGCCGCGGUAAUUC
This 406-nucleotide ribosomal RNA is filed under the name uncultured bacterium. RNAcentral describes it as "partial 16S ribosomal RNA". It matches the Rfam family "Bacterial small subunit ribosomal RNA", at positions 30 to 526 of the family's 1533-position model. The record is from RNAcentral.